AUGAGAUGAUUUUUGUUCAUAAAAUUGAUAAGAUGACGACAUAUGUAGCUGAUCAUACAAGAAUAGCUUUUCAAAUUGCCGCAUCAUUUUUUUUUAUAGGUUGUAUUUUUUGAUUCAUAUGGAUACAUUUUUAGUAGAUUAAUAUAUCUGAUUAUAUAUAUAUAUAUAAAAGAAAAAAGAAAAAAAGACAGGCUGUUCUUCGUGGCUCUUCUAGGCUCUUCUCGUCGUCUGCCAAGCCUAAUAAACAGAGGUAGGGACUGGUGACUGGCCCGUUUCCAGGCAUCGUUACCAUCCUAAAGAGAAUCUAUAGCAAGGUAGCAAGGUGUCUAUCAAUCUCUAGAGGUCGCAUGAAGACGAGGCAAGCCGUGGACCUCACAUGAAAUUUUAUGUACCAACUUGAAGCAUUAAUCUAA
RNAcentral lists this long non-coding RNA (413 nucleotides) under Elaeis guineensis (African oil palm). RNAcentral describes it as "long non-coding RNA (EGUI_LNC010748)". The record is from RNAcentral. Lineage: Eukaryota; Viridiplantae; Streptophyta; Magnoliopsida; Arecales; Arecaceae.